UAAAAUUUAAUAUGUCCUGUUUUGUGAAAAAUAAUGAAGCAGGGAUUAAUUAUCACUGAUGUUAUUUUGGCAAAGUUCCAUUCCAGGGCAAUAAAAAUGAAGGAGAGGAGGAAAGGUCAGGAAAGAAAGCAAAGAAUGGAAUUCUGAAACAAUGGGAGCCACAGUUUCACAAUGAGUCACAAAGAGACAGACACAAUAACCAUUUCUUGAGCAGGAAGUGUAUCAGUAGGAAGCACAAGGAAUUUAUCUACCGAGAUCCCAUCUAUUCUUCCCUGCUUGCUGAAAACCUACCUGUUUUUAAAGUUUGUGUCACAGAGAUGAAACUGUUCUGUACUUCCAGGUUGUAUCAUCCAGUGUAGAAUUUUCCUGGAGUGAAGAAUUUACAGAAGAAGGGGCUAGAGACUAUAAGAGUGAUUGGUUGAGCUCAGAGCAUACAUGUAGUUUACCGGCUGGAGUCAGAACAAGUAGUUGAAGAUCUAAGUAGAAGUUGAACUUGAGAAAAACUGUGGAGUACAACAGAUGGUCUCACAAACGAUGCAUCUAAGAUCACCUAUCAGGAAGAUACACGGGGAAAGAAGAAAGGCCAUAUGAGGAUACAGCAAGAAGGUAGCCAUACACAAGCUAGGAAGAGUCCUCUCCAGAAUACAAACCAGCCAGUGCGUCAGUCUAAGAUGUGCCAGCUUCCAAAACCAUGGGCAAGAAUGUCUUCAUGCUGUGCAUAGAAUAUUCGGGUCCCUCCAGAACUCUUACAUUGAUAUCUUUACAUCACAACAAUGGAGCCCUCAUGAAUAGGCUUAGUGCUUUUCUACUUCUAUGAGUUUGUCCCCAUUCUACCACAUAAGUUUACAGCAAGAAGAAAGUCAUCAGAGAGAAAACUCAUCUUCAACAGACAUCAAAUUUUCUAUUUUAGUCCUAGUCUCCAAAACUGUGAGAAAUGAAUUUCUGUUGUUUAUAAGCCCUUCGGUUUAUGAUAUUUUGUCAUAGUACACCUUAGGGGCAAAAACAUUAUCUAAUUUAGUCACAUAAAAUCAGUUUCCAAGUCAGAAAUAUCAGAUCAGGUGUGACUAUUUAUCAUACCACAGAUCCAACUGUUCACCAAGUCUAGCUGAUUUCCUUUUAAAGCAUCUUUGUACUUCUGCUACCACCUCUGUUGAGAUGGGGCAUGUAGUAUCUCUCGACCAGCAGCACUUUUUUUUCUUCUUCAGCAAUAGAUACCUAUUUAUUUGAGAUUGUUAUGUGGUUGUAUUUUACUGAUUGCUUAGCUUCUCAUGAAAACCUGUGUGUAUGUCCUAGCCUCUUUGACAAGUAAGUAAAAUCAAAUUCUUGAAGCUAAAUUAUUGACUAGUAAGAUACAACUAGAAAUGAUAUGAGUAAUUUGGGAAUGUGUUCUUAAGAAGGACAUGAUGUGCUUUUCUCAUAUUAUUUCUUUUUUUUUGACCAUUUAGAGUAUAGAUGUGAAGGAUGGAAAUAGAAUAAUCAUUUUGAAUCAUAACUUCAUUGCCCAAAGUUGAGAAUGAUAAAGCAAUGAUAUAGAAAAAACAUUUACACCCUUGUCAACUGAGAAACUAUUUUGA
Non-coding RNA from Heterocephalus glaber (naked mole-rat), 1574 nucleotides. Lineage: Eukaryota; Metazoa; Chordata; Mammalia; Rodentia; Bathyergidae. The record is from RefSeq and is a predicted model, not a curated record.